This 113-nucleotide ribosomal RNA is filed under the name Enterococcus faecium. RNAcentral describes it as "partial 16S ribosomal RNA". It matches the Rfam family "Bacterial small subunit ribosomal RNA", at positions 1 to 97 of the family's 1533-position model. Lineage: Bacteria; Bacillati; Bacillota; Bacilli; Lactobacillales; Enterococcaceae. The record is from RNAcentral.
UUUUUAUGAGAGUUUGAUCCUGGCUCAGGACGAACGCUGGCGGCGUGCCUAAUACAUGCAAGUCGUACGCUUCUUUUUCCACCGGAGCUUGCUCCACCGGAAAAAGAAGAGUG